Long non-coding RNA from Phycodurus eques (leafy seadragon), 1984 nucleotides. RefSeq lists it as uncharacterized. The transcript has 3 exons. NCBI's taxonomy places the organism in Eukaryota, Metazoa, Chordata, Actinopteri, Syngnathiformes, Syngnathidae. The record is from RefSeq and is a predicted model, not a curated record.
AGCCCAAGGGUUGGUAGAAGAGGAGGAGGGAGAAGAGCUCUUCUAAUUAGAAACAGAGGCCUGGGGGGUUAGGUAACCGGGAUAACGACAUUUUGUGGCCAUCAGCACAAAAGAUGAAGAUGAGAGAGAGAAAAAAAUGUACAGACCACUCCCUCUGCAGCUGCUGCAGGAUCUCGGACGUCAAAAGUCCGUCUCGCACCAGGCGGUUAGCUAGCGAGCUGUCCACGGUCUGUUUCAAGCCUUUUGAAGCGCUCAGACUUCUGACUCCUGACGAGUGGCUACCGGAGGCACCGGUUUGGACGCGGUUUCUCUGCGCCUGGAGUGGGCCGGUGAUGGCCGGGUCUGUGGCUCGGAUGAGACGCGUGAUAUUCCGUACGCCCUCUUGGAUGGUGGCGUCCAGUUCCCGUUGGAUUUCCCGCACAAAGGCAGUGUCAGGGAACAUGUCCAAGAAACGGUAACUAGACAAGAAACAACAUGAAGGGUUAAGUAGUGAAGGAAAUAUAGCCAACUAUAAGAAUAUAGUAAGAGUACAAUCAUAGCAAUAAUAGAGCCCCAAUUAGUGCGCGUCAUCCAUUUAGGAAAAAUAAAUGCCUCUCAAAUAGACAACACACUUUGAUCCAUCAAGAAAACAGUAAACAAUCUUUCAGAUAAAGUGUGGAGACUUCUCAUGUUGUAAAAUAAUUCAUUUUUACCACGAUAAAACAAAUUAUACUAUAGGAAUGUAUAGAAUAUUACAGCACAGUGGUGCCUUGAAAUACGAGUUUAGUUCAUUUCGUGACCACUAUUCUGUUCUAAAAAAAAAAAAAAACUGUUGUAGUCUGUAUUUUAAUGAAGAAAAAUAGCACUCUAUAAAAAUAUACAGUAAUGACAUAAUUAAAAAGAAUUACACUAUUUCUCACACUGCAUCAAUUGAAUAGUAGUAGUGUGGUGUUUUUUUUCUGGUGUGCUUGCCUUGACCAUCUGGGGGCAGUAUAAGACUGACAGAUGGAUAUACUGUUCAUUGUGAAUUUGUGACCUCGCUCAUCAGUACAGCACUAAUAUUAGUCGUUCUAUGCCGAGGAUGAAGGGAUAUAGCACCACAACAUAGAUGCUAUUUAGCAUUAAGCUAGUGGACUAAAAGACUGGUCGUUUUAAAUACAAUAGAAAAUUAUACACCUAUACCUAUUUUAUGUUUAGUUUGACAAUAAACUAACUGGCAGUGACAAAGAGUUUGAAGCUUCUUUUUUGAAGAAUUGAAGACUACAGUAUUUGCCAAAGUGCUGCUUAUUGUGAAGUCAGUUGAGAUGAGUUCACUGCCACCAAGCAGCGCUCAUGUCUCAAGUCUGCAGCUCGGAAGUCAAAGCAAAAAUAAAUACAUCGACCAAACAACGGCUCGUAGCUUGAAAAACAUAAGUCGAGUCACUUGUAUUUCAAGGCACAACUGCAGUUAAAUAUUUACUGAUUUUUUUCCUAAUUUUUGAUUCACUCUUACAGCUAAUGAAAACAAAAUUCAAGAAAUAUAUAUAUAUUACAUAAGAAAUCGUACAACCACAACUUGUAUAGUUACAAUUUCAUACAGAUUCAAGUACUUUUUUAACUUUAAAACGUCACUGAUGCUCAUGAUCAUUUGGCAGCUGCCAAACCAUAAUUCCAUCCGUCACAAAAUUACCUUAACCAGAGGUAAAGAUCCAACACGUCGUGAACAGCCUCCAGGUGAACCAGGUCUUUUAUGUUUUUGGGCGGGGCCAGAGGCCAGUUGACAUGCCGACAGACCCAGUCAAAGGUCAAGGGUUCGUCUCGGCUGAACUGACGGGCGAACUGAAAGAGAAAGAAGUAGUAGAAUCAGUUCACAUAUGUGACAUUGCAUGAAAAGUUUUCAAAUGAUUUAUUCAAAAAAAAUGUUCCCCCCAUAAAAACCUAAAAUUUGAACAUGGGUGUGUGUUUUUUUAUUCAGGGGACCUGAGGACGGUGAAGAAUAAAUCAUUGGGGGAUUAAAAUGGAUUUG